UACGUAGGGAGCAAGCGUUGUCCGGAAUCAUUGGGCGUAAAGAGCGUGUAGGCGGUUCGAUAAGUCUGCUGUGAAAGUCCAAGGCUCAACCUUGGGAUGCCGGUGGAUACUGUCGAACUCGAGUCCGGAAGAGGAGUGUGGAAUUCCUGGUGUAGCGGUGAAAUGCGCAGAUAUCAGGAGGAACACCGAUGGCGAAGGCAGCACUCUGGGACGUGACUGACGCUGAGACGCGAAAGCGUGGGGAGCAAACAGG
Molecule: ribosomal RNA, 253 nt
Filed under: uncultured bacterium
Lineage: Bacteria
Description: partial 16S ribosomal RNA
Rfam family: Bacterial small subunit ribosomal RNA
Source: RNAcentral